Molecule: ribosomal RNA, 484 nt
Filed under: uncultured bacterium
Lineage: Bacteria
Description: partial 16S ribosomal RNA
Rfam family: Bacterial small subunit ribosomal RNA
Source: RNAcentral
AUUGAACGCUGGCGGCAGGCCUAACACAUGCAAGUCGAGCGGAUGAAGGGAGCUUGCUCCUGGAUUCAGCGGCGGACGGGUGAGUAAUGCCUAGGAAUCUGCCUGGUAGUGGGGGAUAACGUCCGGAAACGGGCGCUAAUACCGCAUACGUCCUGAGGGAGAAAGUGGGGGAUCUUCGGACCUCACGCUAUCAGAUGAGCCUAGGUCGGAUUAGCUAGUUGGUGGGGUAAAGGCCUACCAAGGCGACGAUCCGUAACUGGCCUGAGAGGAUGAUCAGUCACACUGGAACUGAGACACGGUCCAGACUCCUACGGGAGGCAGCAGUAGGGAAUAUUGGACAAUGGGCGAAAGCCUGAUCCAGCCAUGCCGCGUGUGUGAAGAAGGUCUUCGGAUUGUAAAGCACUUUUAGUUGGGAAGAAGAGCAGUAAGUUAAUACCUUGCUGUUUUGACGGUACCAACAGAAUAAGCACCGGCUAACUUCGUG